Molecule: transfer RNA, 107 nt
Organism: Puccinia graminis f. sp. tritici
Lineage: Eukaryota; Fungi; Basidiomycota; Pucciniomycetes; Pucciniales; Pucciniaceae
Rfam family: tRNA
About the family: Transfer RNA (tRNA) molecules are approximately 80 nucleotides in length. Their secondary structure includes four short double-helical elements and three loops (D, anti-codon, and T loops).
Source: Rfam
GACAACGUGGCCGAGCGGUUAAGACGAUUGACUAGAAUAAGGUUCUAAGGCUAUUGUCUAAUAUCAAUUGGGAUUUUCCCGCGUAGGUUCAAAUCCUGCCGUUGUCG